UACGUAGGGUGCGAGCGUUGUCCGGAAUUAUUGGGCGUAAAGAGCUCGUAGGCGGUUUGUCGCGUCUGCCGUGAAAGUCCGGGGCUCAACUCCGGAUCUGCGGUGGGUACGGGCAGACUAGAGUGAUGUAGGGGAGACUGGAAUUCCUGGUGUAGCGGUGAAAUGCGCAGAUAUCAGGAGGAACACCGAUGGCGAAGGCAGGUCUCUGGGCAUUAACUGACGCUGAGGAGCGAAAGCGUGGGGAGCAAACAGG
RNAcentral lists this ribosomal RNA (253 nucleotides) under uncultured bacterium. RNAcentral describes it as "partial 16S ribosomal RNA". It matches the Rfam family "Bacterial small subunit ribosomal RNA", at positions 524 to 776 of the family's 1533-position model. The record is from RNAcentral.